Molecule: long non-coding RNA, 880 nt
Filed under: Malus domestica (apple)
Lineage: Eukaryota; Viridiplantae; Streptophyta; Magnoliopsida; Rosales; Rosaceae
Description: long non-coding RNA (MDOM_LNC011972)
Source: RNAcentral
GCGCACCCACCCUCUUACCUCCUCUACACACCCCCACCACACCCAUCUUCUUCCCCAUCUUCAUCUUCUCCGCAACCUAGAAAAAAAAAAAAAAACACCCUUUAAGUUCAUCUUCCCCCCUGCAACCCAGCCCAGCCCACCCCCUGCAAUCAUCUUCCUCAUCCCCAUCCCCAGCCGCAUUACUUCUUCUCCCUCCCUUCAUCUAAAAGCCUACAAAACCCUAAUUUUUCCCCCAAAUCGACUGCUCUACUCAGAAGACGACUCCCGCCGCCAUGGCCGUUGUCAAUAGAUUCGAAUGCACUAGCUACUGCGGCUGCAGAGGCUCCAGAUCCACCUUGAAAUGCCUCUCAAGUAAAUAUCCGAUAAAACCAAAAAUCCAAUUUCAAUAAAAGAAAAUAAAUUUUGGAUUGUUGUAAUUUUCCAAGAAAAUUCAAACAAAUUUCCAAAAUAAUUACAUAAAUUUUCAAAAAUCAAUAAAAAGAACAAAGGGUUUCUGUAAUUUUCCAAAAAGGCAGAUCUUUCAUACCUUGAUUUGGAGAAGACAACGGCUGGGGGGGGCGUUUCUAAUGAAUUUGUCGUGCCUCAUCGAUGCAAGCAAGAAAGUGUGGUUAUAGAAAACGAGGGAAUGGGCGAGCUGAAAGAGGGUGAGUCAUGUUGCCCAGAAACCCAGUGAAGUGUGCCGGGUCUUCGACAUCCUCCUUCUUUUCUUCGACUUCUUCUUCUUCAACUACUUCCUGUGCUGGUUGAUUUGGGGUUUGGGUAUGACCUGUUGUUGCUUUUUGGAGGGUUUGGUGGAGCUGAGCUUUCUCUUUUUCGCCAUUAUAGGAGGGGGAGCAAGGCGUCGUGGAUAAAGGGAAUAGGUGGGGCCGUGGGGGUGGGG